UACGUAGGGGGCUAGCGUUGUCCGGAAUCAUUGGGCGUAAAGCGCGUGUAGGCGGUCCGGUAAGUCCGCUGUGAAAGUCGGGGGCUCAACCCUGGAAUGCCGGUGGAUACUGUCGGGCUCGAAUCCGGAAGAGGUGAGUGGAAUUCCUGGUGUAGCGGUGAAAUGCGCAGAUAUCAGGAGGAACACCAAUGGCGAAGGCAGCUCGCUGGGACGUUACUGACGCUGAGACGCGAAAGCGUGGGGAGCAAACAGG
This 253-nucleotide ribosomal RNA is filed under the name uncultured bacterium. RNAcentral's name for it is "partial 16S ribosomal RNA". It matches the Rfam family "Bacterial small subunit ribosomal RNA", at positions 524 to 776 of the family's 1533-position model. The record is from RNAcentral.